UUGUAUGAUUUGUAUAACCAAAUACAUGAAUGAUAUAUGUUUUAAAUACUCGGUCACUUAUACAUGUGCGUAUAACCCACAUAAAAUCUACGAUAUUUGUUGUGUACUUACAAAAUCCUACAAAGAUCUCAAGUAAUAUACUCAAUAUCUCCAUAUCCAUCACCCCCUCUCACACGUUCUAUCUCCCUACAUAAUCCUUCAGAGAUUUCCAAGUACUUCAGAGAUCUCAAGAGCUUCUAAAUAUCUGCUUUUUAUCACAUAGGAAAGUCACACAAUCAUUCACAAACUCACUCUUUCUCUCCCAUCUUUCUGUUUCGAUGCAUAGCCAAGAACACCUCCAUUGGAGGUGGUUUUCUUGUGAUUUCCUGGUGAGCUAAGGAGCAGUAGCCCCUCCUCCUGUCAAAGAAGCUCAAACCCAAACAUCCUUCUCCUAUAUCGAUUUCUCUCAAAAGCAAACCCAAACAACCAUUUUAUUCAUUACAUAGGUUCCUAUUAAAACAAACAAAAUCCCAAGAGAAACUUCUUACCUAUUGUUGAUCAGAACUGCCAAAGCAAUGGGGAAACAUCGUGAUUGUCGAUCGGGACAGAAAAGAAGAAACACGAGGACUCGCUAGAGACUGAUCGCUGAUACGAUUCGUCGCCGGAGAAACCCACACCCAUCCUCCCUCGUUCUUCCUAUCAAUCAAACAACUCAAAAGAAACCCACACCAAAUGUUGUCCCAGUUCUGAUCCGCACCUCCAUCUUCCCUUUGUGUUACUUGCCAAAAUCAGAAGAGACAAGGCGAUGAGUAACAGCCGGAGCCGCCUAUCGCCACCAUUGUUGUUAACCACAACUUCUACCGUUGACCUUGCUUCCUUUUUCUUGGAUCAUUGCCAGUGGAGAUUAAACCAAUCCAAAUGAGGCUCGCCGGAGAUCGAUUCCUCCUCCCAACGUACCAGCCAUCGCCAGAGAUUGGACCCUUCUCGUUGUUCCGUUUGUUCGUCGCUCCCUCUGUUCCUAUACUUGAUUUGACGAACGAAUGAAGAAGAUGAGGCGUCAAAUCCCUUGUACCCCAAACCUUGUAUCAGAUUGAUAGAAACAGUCCCUUCAAUUAUAACUUUAAAUCAGGAAAUCAGCCCUUGACAUAAAUCUUUGCAAAGCAGGUCCCAAAUGAUUUAAACAUUUUAAAAACAACCCUUUUGGAUAUAAUUCAUUACAAAUUAGUCCCUCGUGUAAAAAUAACUUGCAAAACAUCCUUUUCCUUCAAAUAUAAAAUAUUUGAAAACAAGCCCCUUUAGUUUAAAACAUUACCAAAUAAACCCUGAAACGUUUAAAAGUCCAAGAAUGGUUACGUUGCGAUUUCUACGUGAAGCUUCACCAAAAUGAACCUAGAUCAAUAUGAGGCAUCGAAUGUGAGUUUCUACGGCCCCUCUUUUACGGUUUUAAUAUUUGGGGGAGAAUAUAUGCGUGUCUAUUAAAGUUUGAUGGAUUUUCAAGUUUUCUAUACAAAAUAACAUCUUAGUUUGAUUAUUAGUCAGACGUUUAUGAAGUAGCAAGCUAAAGAUGUGAUAAAUUACUAGCAAACCUAUUAAGUUAAAGUAGAUUGUUAUAAGUUGAUAUAAUUAUACUUUAUGUGAAAUAUAAAUAUAAUUAUUAAGAAAAAUCACAAGAUUGAAAGUAUAUUGCUAUAAUUAUACAAGUGAAUAUUAUGAGUCACAAAAAUGAUGACUUUACAUGAGUAAGAUAAAGUAUCUCAUGGAAGCAUGAAACGAUAUAAUAAUGACCAAAAUUAUUAUCCGUGUAUAAAAUGAAAGUAUAUUGCCAUAAUUGAUGGAAGAUUANAAAUUAUUAAUAUAUUUUUAUGUUAAUUAUAACAACAUAACUUCAUUAUACUAAGUUAUUUAUUCUUAUCACAAUAUAUAACAUGAUCGACUUCAGAGCUUAAGAGUCGUUAUUUACGAAAUAAAUACUUGUCGAGUAUUGUAUUUAAAGACUUUACCUUUAUCCCAAAUUAAAUGUAUUAAAAACAUUCUCGCAUAAUUUAUAUAAAAUAUGGGGAAUGUAGAUCUACAGUUGAUCCAAAUUUGGAUAAAUUCAAAAAUUAGCUAUUAUGCUAAUACAUCAUCGAAACUGUAUCUAGUAUGAUAAAUUCUUGAAGAUAUAAGAAUUUCAGUUAUUGUUUUCUGAAACAGUGAAUAAUGUUGUAUAUCCAGUGAAUUUAGAAUGGAUUAUAUAGGUUCAUUAUACCUAUUCCGUGUAGGUUCAUCAUACCUACUCCAUGUAAGUCGUAUAGGUUCAUCAUACCUAUUCAAUGUAGGUUCAUCAGACCUACUCUAUAUACUCUGUAUAGUUUCAUCAUACCUAUUCCGUGUAGGUUCAUCAUACCUACUGCAUGUAAGUCAUAUAGGUUCAUCAUACCUAUUCAAUGUAGGUUCAUCAUACCUACUCUAUGUAUUCUGUAUAGGUUCAUCAUACAUAUUCGGUGUAGGUUCAUCAUACCUACUCCAUGUAAGCCGUAUAGGUUCAUCAUACCUAUUCAAUGUAGGUUUAUCAUACCUACUCCAUGUAUUCCGUGUAGGUUCAUCAUACCUACUCCAUGUAAGCCGUAUAGGUUCAUCAUACCUAUUCAAUGUUGGUUCAUCAUACCUACUCCAUGUAUUUCGUAUAGGUUUAUCAUACCUAUUCAAUGUAGGUUCAUCAUACCUACUCUAUGUAUUCUGUAUAGGUUCGUCAUACCUAUUCCGUGUAGGUUCAUCAUACUUACUCCAUAUAUUCCAUAUAGGUUCAUCAUCCCUAUUCUAUAGGUUUAUCAUAUCUAUUCCGAAUACCGUAUCCAAUACGUUUGAGUUUCCAUUAUAAACUAUUUCGGGUUUCGCGAAAGCUAAGAUCUCAAUACGUAGUAGAAACUCUCCAAUAUAUAACCGUUAAUCCUCGAGGGAACGACUAACGUCGGGUGUAAGUGUCAUAUUAUUGAUCUUAUACGGUACGACUGCCCGCCUGGAGUUGUUAGCUACAACUACAUCUGAUGAGAUGAAUUUUGGCACUGACGUUAGCAUUAUCGAAACAUUACCACGUGUUACAACGGGGGAAUGACUUUAGCACGCGCACCUUAUUAUGGUGUCGGUGCAUUAAUAAAGUACAGUGUAACGAGUUCGGUUAUGAUUUCAUUAUAAAAUCCCAGUUUUGUUUCGUUAGCAUAUAAAAUCGAUAUUGGAUUUAUACGUGGUUUAUGUUCACUUAUUCUAGUUGAAGGAAAUUGUAUUUAGUGGGAUAGGUUGUCACUCAAAGCGAUAAGUGUCAAUACCAAAAAUUAAGUUAUAUAACACUUCAUUAAUAUCAUGACACGACUCGACAAGAUUUACUAACUCACAUAAAUGAGUUAUUUAUAUAAACCAUUUGCUUUUAUAGUAAAACACAAUAUUUAUGUGGGGGGAGUUUGCCCCACCAGUUAAGUGUCGGUUUUCAAAUUAAGUCAGAUAAUACUUAAUUAUUGUCACGACGCGAUUUUACAAAGUUCAUAAAUUCAGUACUUAUGAGUUUUUUUAUAUAAAUGAUACAAAUAUCUGUAUAAGGUUUCAAGAGUAAAGUUGGUUAUUGUGACAACCCGAAAUUUCCAUUAUGAACAAACCAUAUCAAGCCAAUAGAAGUUAGAACAGUUUUAGUGAAAUUUCAGACUUCGGGUACAAGUUUGGCAGUUUUUCAGGAUUUACACUUAAGGAGAUAUCAGGAGAGUGGAUGCACUAGGGUUUUGUGCAACACUGUUAUUCCAAUACUCUAGGAUAUUAGAGUUCAUUCCGAGAAUAAAAAUAUUUUCUGCCAAAAAUCUCAGGACUAUAUAUAGAAAACUGAACCAUAUUCGUUCAUUAGCUACAUUUCCAUUUAGAGAAAAGUCAAAAUUCUCUCUCACGGAUCUUCGGGUUUUUAUCCCAAAUUGUGAGUACUUCGAUCUAGUUAUGUUAUAUAGCUUAGAUUGUGUUUAGAAACAUCAAAAUCAGACCAUAACCCCAAGAUUUGGGAGUUUACCGCCAGUAUACUCCAUUUUAAGGGCCAAAAGUGUCCCAAUGCCCCUCAAAGCCUUGGAACUCAAACUAGAAGCCUCCAUUACAUGUUUAGGACACCAAAAUCAAUUAGAAACAAGGAUGAAAGUGAGUUCACGGCCAAGGAGGUUCUUGGGCCGUGAACUCCAUGUUUAAGUGCUAAAAUGCCCUAAAUGCCUUCAUUUGGCCAAAAGACUAGCAUAGCACAUUACCUUGAUGUAUCUAGGACCCAAAACAAUCUAAAUACCAACACCUAGGGGUGUUCACGGCCGCAAACACAUGGCCAAAAGGUUCAUGGGCCGAAAACUCUAGUUAGGGGUGUUUUGAUGCCACAAACACUUCCUAAGGCUUAGGCUUGAAUUUAGACAUAUACCCUAAAGUGUUUAUAGCCUANNNNNNNNNNNNNNNNNNNNNNNNNNNNNNNNNNNNNNNNNNNNNNNNNNNNNNNNNNNNNNNNNNNNNNNNNNNNNNNNNNNNNNNNNNNNNNNNNNNNNNNNNNNNNNNNNNNNNNNNNNNNNNNNNNNNNNNNNNNNNNNNNNNNNNNNNNNNNNNNNNNNNNNNNNNNNNNNNNNNNNNNNNNNNNNNNNNNNNNNNNNNNNNNNNNNNNNNNNNNNNNNNNNNNNNNNNNNNNNNNNNNNNNNNNNNNNNNNNNNNNNNNNNNNNNNNNNNNNNNNNNNNNNNNNNNNNNNNNNNNNNNNNNNNNNNNNNNNNNNNNNNNNNNNNNNNNNNNNNNNNNNNNNNNNNNNNNNNNNNNNNNNNNNNNNNNNNNNNNNNNNNNNNNNNNNNNNNNNNNNNNNNNNNNNNNNNNNNNNNNNNNNNNNNNNNNNNNNNNCUGGGCCGUAAACUCCAAAUCAUAUGGUCAUUUGACCAUAAACCCCCAUUAGAGGUCUUGCACUCCUUUGUUGCAAGCCAUUUGCCUCCUAGCACUUGACCAAAAGUGUUUUCGUCGCAUUAAAAUGCUUAUACUUGUAUAAUUAGUGUAUUAAUCACUACUUAUUUAUAUACAUAUGUCUUCAUAUGAAAUUAGGAUCAUUGUGUGUGUCUAAAGUCUUCACUUGACACCAAGCACUUGUCCGAUCAUUCCUUACGAUAACAUUCCAUUAAAUUCCAAUCACUUACUGCAGGUGAGUUCAUACCCCUUAAUCAAUGUUUUAACUAUUUUUAAAUGUUUUAUGGGGGGAUACAAGUAGAAUCAUGCUACUUAUUAUAUCAAUCACAUGUGAUUAAUAAGCAACAUUUAAAUGAUUUACCACUCAUUAGCCGUUUNUUUUUAAAUGUUUUAUGGGGGGGAUACAAGUAGAAUCAUGCUACUUAUUAUAUCAAUCACAUGUGAUUAAUAAGCAACAUUUAAAUGAUUUACCACUCAUUAGCCGUUUUACCAAACAGUUUCCUUCAAAUGAUGUUCAUAAACAUUUUAUAUGUUUAAAACUCCUUCUUACACUGUACAUUUUACUCUCUAUGUUUUAUUUCAAACUUAUUUACAAUUGUGUUGAAAACAAAUGUUUCCUUAUACUGUUUUAUCAAACCCAUGCCUUCAAACCGUUUUAUAGAUCGACAUCAAGUCGAUCUUUCCUUAGAUAAUGAUUAUGUUCAUAGGUUUUACAAAACUUAUUUUAUGCUUUUAUAUUAUAAAUUGCAUGCCUCUAUAUGUAUAGUUAUAUAAGUAAUGUUUAAAAGACUUAGGAAGGCUAUCCACCUUGUUUCCUUUUCCUCGAUUUGGAUGUGGUCUGAUAGGAUAUCGGGUACUCGUCCGAAGGUCGUUUAAAUAUUAGUUAUAUAUCAUGUGUACAUAUAUAGUCAUAAAAGGUCCUUCCAGUUCAUCCAAUGCCCUUGGGUAGCAAGGGUAUACAUCCAUGUCCAUACGUACCAGUUAGAUUACUAGUAAACUACCAUAUGGGUAGUUUAGGAAGAUACUAGAACUAUUACUAGAACGCGAUAUCAUACAAUGAGUCAGUUCAUUCAUGAGUCAAUACUUNNNNNNNNNNNNNNNNNNNNNNNNNNNNNNNNNNNNNNNNNNNNNNNNNNNNNNNNNNNNNNNNNNNNNNNNNNNNNNNNNNUCUCUUGGAGGGAGAGCGUGAGUUUGCGUAUAGAUCUAUACUGGAUUGACUAUCCUACACCUUGCUGCUAGCUACAGCCGGACCUGCAGGUCUGCAGGUGCCAAACGUCAUUCCGUUUUACGACCAUUCGUAUGUCCUUGUUACCAUUCAAUAGUAUGAUGCAAUUAAUCACAUGAUGCCUUAAUAUAAAUCUGGUUUAAGGUAGUUAGUACAACAAUAGUUCCUAUAAUACAACACUACAAUACUACAUUAAUUUCCCCUUUUCAUAUAUUUAGUGAUCAUUUCACUUAAAUAUUUAAUAUAAAAGCUAUAUUUUGAUAAUGAUAGUUACACUUGGGAAAAUUACACACUUUUACAAGAAACGAACAUUUAGAACAGUUAAGUCUUCGUAGAAGACUACAUUGAGAACAGUUAAGUCUUGGUAGAAGACACCUUUAUAUAAAAGUAGGAAUCAUAGGGAUUUAUAGGGUUUUUGAAACGUUUACAGUUGUUUUACAAACAUUUUUAUACUUACAGAUUAUCUACAUUUUUCCAUACUUAUAGUUCAUUUACAAACAAUUUCACAUACAAAUUAAGACACUAGAAUACUUAUGAUCUCACCAGCUUCAAAGCUGAUACUCGCUUUCAAAAUUACUUGUAUCCUCAGGUCAUCAUAGACAGGUACCGAUGCAAGGAGAAAGGAAGAUGGAGCUUGUUCAAGACUCAUCUUUCAUUUUGAUUUAUGCUUUAGUGUUUAUCAAAAUUUGACAGAGAACACUUGUAUAAUAAUUAUAUUAUUAAUGCAAUGGAUGAUGUUGUUGCUUAUUUACUACUUUUCAUUGUUGUGAUACUGUACAUGACGUCCUCCGCCCCAGAACGUUUCUUCUGACGUUCUUGGUUUUGGGGUGUGACAGAUUGGUAUCAGAGCAUUGUUUAUAGUGAAUUAAGUAUAUCAACCCAUAAAAUAUAUACUAACUAUAAAUACAUAAGGGAUUAAAAAUAAUAUGACCAUGUCACACCCCCGAACCAGACGACGGAAACGUCCGAGUAUACGUGCNNNNNNNNNNNNNNNNNNNNNNNNNNNNNNNNNNNNNNNNNNNNNNNNNNNNNNNNNNNNNNNNNNNNNNNNNNNNNNNNNNNNNNNNNNNNNNNNNNNNNNNNNNNNNNNNNNNNNNNNNNNNNNNNNNNNNNCAAGACGUUACUGAGUACAUUUUUCCUUUUCGAUUUACCUGUUACCUGAGAAUACAAGUAUUUUGAAAAACGUCAACAUAUGAAAUGUUGGUGAGUUCAUAAGUAAUGUUUGAAAUAUAGUGGUUUGUAUUGUUUUGAAAAUCACCAGAAAAUCCGAUAUUUUCUGAAAAGAGCAUAGUAUAAAAAGUGUGAAGAUCCGUAAGUAUGCUUGUUUGUUUCUAUAGAUGUAAAAGUACAAUUUGUAAAACUCGGUAUGUAACUCGUAGGUGUAUUAAUUGAAAACCCUAGGAAAACCCGAUGUUUUCCUAAUACUUUGCAUCAAAUGAUUUAUAUUUUGUUAUUUCGUUGCGACGGGUGUAUUCGUUGAGUCCCGGUGACAUUGGAUUAAUUAUGGAUUGUGAAUUGUUAUAAACACACAUUAAUGAAAAUGACUAGUUUACAACUAUACAAACGAUCCCUUAGGCGUCGUUCGCACUAUUCACUUAAUCCAAUCACCCGGACUUCUCAUAGCCCCACAACCGAGGAGGAAAAGAGGGUGCGAAGCCCCCGAUAUUUCCAUAAGUCGUUCAAGGCUAUCGUGAAUGCGAAGGGCCCUUAACUCGACUCGCAUUUGGUGAAUUCUCGACUUUACUAGCAGCACCGGAGGACCCUUGGGGUCUAACAGCACGAAGCCUGUAAAAGUCCUUUUACACGGAAUUAAGUCAUAUAAGACCCAACUACAUGUAAGCGAGUUUCCUUCGGGCCUAAAGAUCAUGUCAUUGGGCUAGCUAGGCCCAACAAGCACGAUUUGAAACUUUCGGGCCCAAAGACGGUGUAUCGACGUCUGGUGUAUUCCCACGUGAGUAUUGACUCCCCGAAAUUUCCGUGUGUGUAUUGAAUUCCCGAGGUUUCCGCGUGUGUAUUGAAGUAUCGUCGUGUUAGUAAUUUCAGAUUCGUUAUUGAUUCGAGACCGAAUCAAUUCGUUUGAUAACGAUUUUUGGUGUUGAAGGUGUAUUAUAUUUUGCCGAUAGUCGAGGUACUAGUAUUUCAUUAUAUCGGAUUUAUUGUUUAAAACAUUAGAAUUUUACAUUUUUCAGCCCCUUUCUUUUGGAUAAAUUUACACUUUUGACCCUUUGUAUAAAAGAAUUUCUAUUUUAGUCCUUAAGCCAUUUUUCUUGACACUUUAGUAUCAAAACUUGUAGAAAAGGUAUUUUUCAGCUCAAAGUUAUUUGAAAAACAGUUUUAGUCCCUCAACUGAAAUUUUUCUCGGUUGAAACCCUUAUUUUCGCAAUUUUUACACUUUUGGCCCAAAAUAGAAAAUCUUUGCAUUUUUGGUCCCUUUUAAAUAUGAAAAGCAUUUUUAACCCUUGAAAUGGACUUGGAGCACUAGUAGUCCCCUGUUUUAUAGAAAAAUACAGUUUUAGCCCCUCUAAUUUGAAAAUCUCGCAAUUUGGGCUUUAUUGGGCGGAAAAGUUCAUUUUUGGCCCAAUAUGCUUACAAAUUUCACAUUUAAUCCUUCAAAGAGAAUAUUUCCAGAAAAAUACAUUGUUGAAACUGUUUUGACUCAUUUCAUCCAUCAGAAUUUGUAUUUUGUCAUUUUGGGCCCUUUAACCUUAUAUUUUUUUUAACAUUUUGAGUCCAAAAAUGGGAUUUUUAGCCCAAGGAGUUCAUAUCAACCAACUUGGUUAUUUUUCUAGAAAUGAUUUGUGUGUAAUAAUAUGUUUUAUACUUGUCUCAUACAUCCUAAUGCAAUUCUCGAUUUUAAGAACUUUUUGACUAGAUUCAACACCAUAAUCACAUAAGAACAUGCAAAUAAACAUAGAAGUCAUACAAAGCAUACAUAUACUCAUAGAUCCACACAUUUGCUUGUAUUCCCCCCCCCCCCACAACACUUAUAAAAACUGAAAAAUAGGGGGUAUGAAGCUCACCUUUGCUUUGAUGUUUCGGUUUUGAAGAAGAAUAUGAGAAGAUGAUGUUGUUUUCGGCCUAACUUGUUUCUAUGAUAAGAUCUUCGAGUUCUAGGAAUUUUUAGAGUGUGGUUCAUAAAAAAAAGGUGGUAAGAGAAGUGAUUUGAGUUUAGAAAUGAAACAAAUCAACUUAGGUUUGUAAUAUCUUACCAAGGAUAAUGAUCUUGGUGAAAAAUCCUCUUGAAAGCACUCUAAAUCUUCGAAAUUUUUGGAGGAGGAAGGGGGUGUUCUAGAGAGAGUUUCUUAAGUGAUUUUGAAGGAAAUGAGGUGGUGAGAAGAUGUGUUGGCCAAAAAUAAGAAGAUAGGGGGAAAGAGGAUGUGAUGGUUACCUAGAUGUAUGAGGUUUGGAUAUUACUUAAUGGUUAAUUUGCAUUGAAGUCCACCAUGCAAAUGUGAUGUGUCUAUUGCUCAUUAAUUCUCUUCUUUCUUCAUUGGGCCGAAAUGGAGUAAUCAUGGAGGAGUUUGGGCCUUAUCUUGGUCCUUACUCGAAAUUAUGAAGCACAAAAUAAAUUUUUCGGCCCAUUGGGGCAAAUGAAAUCUUUUAUGGCCCAACAAGGCGAGAUAAGAUGGAUUAUUUUAGGCCCACAUGGCCCAAAAUGCUAAGGUUUUAUGAAUGUGGUCUAUUUAGAGCCCAAUUAGGGUUUCUAGGCCCAAGAUAGUCAACUUGAAGGUUUAUUGGUCCAUUAGGCCCAAUAAGAGAAUCCUAGGCCAUAGUGAACUUGAAAUGGGAUAUCUAGGGUUUCCAACCCUUAUUUGAGCAUAUGAGAUACAUUUUAAUAGGAAUGGAGCAUGGUAUUCACUUAGAUUACAAGUUAUCACACUAGGUGAAUGAUUGCAUGAGAGUAGAAUUUCCUAGCAAAAAUGCUAGUUAUGACAUCAUCCCCCCGUUAGAGGGAACUUCAUCCCGAAAUUCUUUCGAAAGGUAGGUUCCUGAAUGAUAGAAUAGGUGAGGGUACUUCUGUUUCAUCUGGUCUUUGCAUUCCCAUGUGAAUUCCGGUCCACGCUUAGCAUUCCAUCAGACCCUCACAAUUGGAAUGCGGCUUUUCUUCGUAUACUUUACUUCCCUAUCCUUUAUCUCAACUGGUUCUUCGACGAACAGGAGAUUCUUGUUUACUUCGAUCUCUUUUAAAGGAAUGAUAAACGUUUUGCCUGAUAGGCACUUUUUCAUAUUCGAUAUACUGAACACAUGGUGUACGUUGCUGAGCUCUACAAGCAGCUGCAGCCUAUAAGUCUUUGGACCAAUCCGAGCAAAAUCUCGAACAGCCCAAUGUAUCGUGGGUUUAGUUUUCUCGUUUCCUAAAGUGAAUCCUUCCUUUCCAAGGAGAUUCUUUUAAUAACACGCGAUCCCCGCCUUGACAUCCCGAUGGCUUACGCCGCUUGUCAGAAUAGCUCUUCUGUCGGUCUCGCGAUGCUUGAAGUCAAGCUUUAAUUUGGAUUAUCUUCUCUGUUGUUUUGCAAAUGGUUUCUAGUCUCAUGAGAGUACUGGCGAGUGAUCUGUAUUUAUGACUAUAAAGAGUUUCGAAAAGAGCAACCUUAAUGCUCGCGCGAUAGCUGUAAUGGUAUGAGAAUUCAAUCACGGGCAACCGGGUAUCCCAUGACUUGCUGAAUUCAAACACCUAGACUUGUAGCAUGAAUUUGAGUGGUUGAAUAGUUCAUUCGCUUUGACUAUUGGUUUGAGGGUGGUAAGCAACGCUCAUACUUAGCUAUGUUCCUAUAGCCUUUUGAAAUGGCUGUCAAAAUCUUGAAGUAAUUCCGCUAUCUCGAUCUGAGAUAGUAGAUACCGAUAUUUCAUGGAGUCUCAUGAUCUCCUUGGUAUAGAUCCAAGCUAAUCUUUCAGUCUUGUUUGAUUUAUGUAUUAACAGGAAAUGGGUGGAUUGGGUUAGCCUAUUGACGAUCACCCAGAUAACGCCCAAUUCACUCGCAUACCUAUAAGCUUCGUCUUUCACUCCGAGAGUUUUAUCCAUCCACGUAGUGUUUUCUUCGCAAUAUUCUUCGGAUUUGAUGCUUUCAAGGCUGGUAGUAGAUGUUGACAGUGUUUUGUUCUUGCUUCGCGAGUAGAUGAGUAUGCUAUUGAUGAAAAUAAUAAAAAGGCUAACUAGGAGUGUAUGAGAAAACUUGGUUCAUAGGGUCCAUGAAUAGCAUGGGAGCAUUUGUUAAACCGAAGGGUAUCACAAUGAAUUUGAAAUGGUCGUGACGAGUUCGGAAAGCAGUUUUUGAAAUGUCGUCUUCUCAGACUCGAAGUUGAUGAUAACCGAUUCUUAGAUCUAUUUUAGAGAAGUAACUAGCUCCUUGGAGCUGGCCAAAUAGAUCGUCAGUCCGAGGGAGUGGGUAUCGAUUUUUGAUGGGGAGCUUAUUCAAUUUCCUAAAAUCAAUGUACCUUCUGAAGGAUCCGUCUUCUUGAAGAACAACAUCGGAGCUCUUCAGGAAGAGAAGUUUGGUCUGAUGAAUCCUUUGCGCAAUAAUUCUACUCAGUUAACUAGAUAACUUGUGAAUUUUCGGCGAGAGUCAACCUAUAGUGUGAAUUGGCGAUUGAUGUGGUUCUCGGUAUGAGGUCGAUUAAAAAUUCGACCUGUCUUUCUGGAGGUGUUCCGGGAAGUUCUUCGGGAAAUACAUUCGGAAAACCUCAUGCUACCGGAAUACCUUGUAUACUUACUUCUUCCUUGGUCUUGUCCACAACAUGAGCAAAGAAAACGUAGUUCUUCUGGUGCAGGCACUUCUGUGCCUUGAUGCAUGAGAUAGGACGAGGAUUGACGUUAGGUUUAUCACCAUGGGUUAUUAGAGUUUCGUGAUUGGGAAGGUGAAGGCAAACGGCCUUCUCGCGACACAUAGUAUCAGCACGGUGGGGGCUUAACCCAACCAGGCCAAUUAUCACAUCAAAACUCCUAAUAUUUACUGGCAUUAAAUUUUAUUUGAAAUGAAUGGUUGUUUAGAGUUAUGGUGUACUCCACAAAAAUAUCCUAGGUUAAUUCGGUUUUUCCCCAUUGGUCAUGUCCACUGUAAAGGCUUAGCCUAGCUUUGGGGUUGUUGUUUUAGUAAGUGCUCAAAUUUGUUACUAAUGAAGCUUCAGUUAGCUUUACUUUUGAAUAAGGGGUAAGAAAAAGAGUUGUUAAGUGGGAACAUACCAGUAACAACUGUCGGGUCUUGAUCUGCUUUGUCUUAACCCAAGGUCAGGAUCAUUUCUGAUCCUUCUGCUCCUUGAUGGUUAUCCUUGGGGCAAUUGUGCCUGAAGUGACCAAUUCCUCCACACCCAUAGCAGGCGUGUAUGGUCUCAUCAUUUGUGUUGUUUUUAGGGUUGUUGCGAUUGUUGUCGUUUUCUUUUGGAUGACGAUUCUGGUAUGGAUAAGUUCUACAGAAUUUGGCGGUGUGAUUCUUUCGGUUGCAUUUGUUACAAUGCAUCUCCCGGCAGGCUCCAUUAUGAUGGAAUUUGCACUGGUUGCAUUUUGGAAGGUUCCAACGUAUGGUCUCCUGGUUGUUGGUGUAAUAGGGGUCAUGGUCACAUGAACAACAACAUGUUGCUUCCUUGAGAACCCUUGAGUGGGAUGUCCCUUUUUCUUACUUCCAGACCUUAGCUUCCUGCUCUUAAACUUGGGGUUUGGGGUUCCUUGAUAGGUUGUCACUUGUUGGUUUCCAUGUUUGUCCCUUUGGCUGGAGUUGUCAACGGUAUUCCCACCUCAAUUGGGGUUGUUUGCAUUGAUUUGCACCAUCACAGCGGUUACUGCCACCGUUACAGCAGCUUGGAAUGUAGCAGAGUCCAUCUACAGGAGUGGUGUCUCGUGGUUGCGCUUGUUAUUCUUGCGGGAUGGCAUUUUUCUAUCGCACGUUGAUAAUCCAGAUCGUAAGUAAUGAUCAUCAUUCCUGGUUGUACUCUAUAAAUUUUGCAUCUUGUUGUAUAAUUCUCACUGCUUCCAUCUACAUCCCUAUGAUGUAUUUGCGGUAGUACGUAAUCACAGAUUUGGCACGAUCGUCAUGUUUAUCGUUAGAGUAUAUAGGUCGUUCUGGUUUCGAGAUCCUUAAGUAUAUAGCGGUUUUGAGGGUUCGCUUGAGCAUAUAAUUGAGUCUGUGUAGUGAUAUUAAAUAAAGAUAGCACAUAAUUGUUCCAGUGGUAAGUACCAUCUUAGUACACGAAAGAGAGUCAUGUCGGAUAGAAGGGGGAAAGAAGAAAAGGUUGAUCCUAAUUGUGGCGGGAAGUAUCUGGUGGUGGUGCUGAGGAAGUGGGUGCACUUAGGAGACGAGCUACUUGUUGUUCGGUAUCCCAUAGUCGUACUUCCUAAACUAACCGUCUUGCUCGAGAGUCUCCAUUCACUUCCUAUGUUUGUCCAUCAUCUUUCUCAAUAGCAAACCACAUUUGUUCCGUUCGAUUAGGGGUGUCCUGAGCUUGGUUAUCCAUACCUUAGGUGCGCUAGACCAUGAAUAGGAGGGUCCGGUCAGCUGGUCCCCUAUGACUAAGAUCGAAGAGAUCCUGGUUCCUACUGUAAUGUGGUCGUAUCCCCUGCUGGUGACUCUAUCUCCAAAUAUCGUGUGCCCAUGGGGGCAUGGGGCCACCGGGGCCCACACGAUAAGUCGAUACUCUAGCUUUUCAUGGAUGAUUGAUGACAUCGGAUUUUGCAUCCGAGUCAUCAUCAUCAUUGCCCUUGGGCUCUUCUUCUUCAAGGUCCGCUAUUGACUCGGCGGGUUCACCUGCGAGUUCUACUUCAUGUUCCUCCUGUGGUUUUUCCUCUGGGUCGAGCCACCCUACUAUUCCUUGACUAGGGAGAUAGGGUUUCCUGGCUAAUGAUACUCGUCUAUAGCGUAUUGCACGAAGGGCUAUGAAUACUAGAAACAAAUAGCAUACCAAUUACUCCUAUAAUUCUACGAAUAUUGCAUAGAUUUAGUUGAGGUUCCCUUCUUGGAGAUUAAGGGGUAUGUUUUUAGAUUCCCUAGCUAUCACGAGUUCUCCCAGAUGUAACAGCCCGGAAUUUCAGGUAUUACUUUAAAUUAAUUUGGGGAAUAUUUAGGGGGGACUCGGCGAGUUGAUGCCUGACUCGCCGAGUAGGACCACGGUCUUGGUCACAGAUUCGCGACUGGACUCGACGAGUCCAUUAGGGACUCGGCGAGUCGACGCUGUUCAAGCUGAAACCCUAGCCGUUUCGAUUCUGGAUCGUAUAUAAUGUCUUUAGGGCCGUCAUGUCUCGUCUUUUGGCCGAUUGAAGAUAACCUAAACGGCUGUGGGCAUCUGGAGCAAGGGUGAAGGCUAGUAGAAGCUUAAAGAGGUUGUUAGGCAAGGAGAGGCAAGGUGGUGAUCAAAGGAGGAUCAAGGGGUUGAGCUCUGAAGGUUGGGGACGCAGGGAUCACGUUUUCCAGGUAAUCCUCGGAUCAUUUCUGUAGUUUUGUGGUUGUACACGAAUCUAGGGUUUAGGAAACCCAUUUAAGGAUUUGAUAGAUUAUAGAGUUGUUACAAGUGUUUAAAUCCCAGUAAUAGUAUGUGUAAAGGUCCAGGAAGUCCCAUAUCUAUAUAUUACGGAAUCAUGCGAAUUACAGGAGGCAGUUGGUUGACUGCAUGGCGAGGACUCGCCGAGUCCAAUGAUCAGACUCGGCGAGUAGCUUGAAGAUUCACUAGGACUCGCCGAGUUGUUCUUCAGACUCGGCGAGUAGCUUGAAGACUUACUGGAACUCGUCGAGUCGUUCUUCAGACUCGGCGAGUGGUGUCAGGAUGUCUAUACUCGUCGAGUUACCCUUUGUACUCGACGAGUCCGGUCAAGAUUGACCGUUGACCUGUAUAUAUCUUAGAGGGGUCAGUUGUCUUGUUUGAUAAGAUCAUUAACUAGGGCUGUGGUAUUAUAGGGAACCUGCGGNNNNNNNNNNNNNNNNNNNNNNNNNNNNNNNNNNNNNNNNNNNNNNNNNNNNNNNNNNNNNNNNNNNNNNNNNNNNNNNNNNNNNNNNNNNNNNNNNNNNNNNNNNNNNNNNNNNNNNNNNNNNNNNNNNNNNNNNNNNNNNNNNNNNNNNNNNNNNNNNNNNNNNNNNNNNNNNNNNNNNNNNNNNNNNNNNNNNNNNNNNNNNNNNNNNNNNNNNNNNNNNNNNNNNNNNNNNNNNNNNNNNNNNNNNNNNNNNNNNNNNNNNNNNNNNNNNNNNNNNNNNNNNNNNNNNNNNNNNNNNNNNNNNNNNNNNNNNNNNNNNNNNNNNNNNNNNNNNNNNNNNNNNNNNNNNNNNNNNNNNNNNNNNNNNNNNNNNNNNNNNNNNNNNNNNNNNNNNNNNNNNNNNNNNNNNNNNNNNNNNNNNNNNNNNNNNNNNNNNNNNNNNNNNNNNNNNNNNNNNNNNNNNNNNNNNNNNNNNNNNNNNNNNNNNNNNNNNNNNNNNNNNNNNNNNNNNNNNNNNNNNNNNNNNNNNNNNNNNNNNNNNNNNCAGGCGUUCUCUUUUUGGUGAUAAAGGGGUAUAGUUUUAGGUUCCCUAGCUAUCACGAUCUCAUCAGAACGUGUGUUAGUUAUACUUUGGAGAGAAUGUAGUUGAUCAGGCUACAUCCACUCCUUGGUACCACUAAGAACAGUCCUGAAUUAACCGAGAUACUAGCAUUAUCUUGUUUGGUUCGGCGUUAUGUUCCUUAUUCCUAAUGCAAGCAAAGGUGUUUUAUUGUUGUAUUUUACUUGUUUUGUUCAGAGUUAUGUUAGUCCCUCUUUUGGUUUAUAGUUGCAUAUCAAUGUAUGGUUAGAUAUGCUAGUUCACUAUAAACAGAGCUCUGAUACCAACCUGUCACACCCCCGAACCAGACGGCGGAAACGUCCGGGAGCCGUUGUGACUCAAUUGAAUACCAUCACAAUGAAUAUACAUGAAACAUAACAUCAUUCAUCACCAUGCAUUGGAAUAUUACAAAUGGUAGUGUUUACAUUUAGUACAUUGAUCCAUAAUAUUACAUGCCCAAAAGUAAAUUGUUCGGUACUAAUUAAAACAACAGCAAGACGUUACUGAGUACAUUUUUCCUUUUCGAUUUACCUGUUACCUGAGAAUACAAGUAUUUUGAAAAACGUCAACAUAUGAAAUGUUGGUGAGUUCAUAAGUAAUGUUUGAAAUAUAGUGGUUUGUAUUGUUUUGAAAAUCACCAGAAAAUCCGAUAUUUUCUGAAAAGAGCAUAGUAUAAAAAGUGUGAAGAUCCGUAAGUAUGCUUGUUUGUUUCUAUAAAUGUAAAAGUACAAUUUGUAAAACUCGGUAUGUAACUCGUAGGUGUAUUAAUUGAAAACCCUAGGAAAACCCGAUGUUUUCCUAAUACUUUGCAUCAAAUGUUUUAUAUUUUGUUAUUUCGUUGCGACGGGUGUAUUCGUUGAGUCCCGGUGACGUUGGAUUAAUUAUGGAUUGUGAAUUGUUAUAAACACACAUUAAUGAAAAUGACUAGUUUACAACUAUACAAACGAUCCCUUAGGCGUCGCUCGCACUAUUCACUUAAUCCAAUCACCCGGACUUCUCAUAGCCCCACAACCGAGGAGGAAAAGAGGGUGCGAAGCCCCCGAUAUUUUCCAUAAGUCGUUCAAGGCUAUCGUGAAUGCGAAGGGCCCUUAGCCCGACUCGCAUUUGGUGAAUUCUCGACUUUACUAGCAGCACCAGAGGACCCUUGGGGUCCAACAGCACAAAGCCUGUAAAAGUCCUUUUACACGGAAUUAGGUCAUAUAAGACCCAACUACAUGUAAGCGAGUUUCCUUCGGGCCUAAAGAUCAUGUCAUUGGGCUAGCUAGGCCCAACAAGCACGAUUUGAAACUUUCGGGCCCAAAGACGGUGUAUCGACGUCUGGUGUAUUCCCACGUGUGUAUUGACUUCCCGAAAUUUCCGCGUGUGUAUUGAAUUCCCGAGAUUUCCGCGUGUGUAUUGAAGUAUCGUCGUGUUAGUAAUUUCGGAUUCAUUAUUGAUUCGAGACCGAAUCAAUUCGUUUGAUAACGAUUUUUGGUGUUGAAGGUGUAUUAUAUUUCGCCGAUAGUCGAGGUACUAGUAUUUCAUCAUGUCGGAUUUAUUGUUUAAAACAUUAGAAUUUUACAUUUUGCAGCCCCUUUCUUUUGGAUAAAUUUACACUUUUGACCCUUUGUAUAAAAGAAUUUCUAUUUUAGUCCUUAAACCAUUUUUCUUGACACUUUAGUAUCAAAACUUGUAGAAAAGGUAUUUUUCAGCUCAAAGUUAUUUGAAAAACAGUUUUAGUCCCUCAAAUGAAAUUUUUCUCGGCUGAAACCCUUAUUUUCGCAGUUUUUACACUUUUGGCCCAAAAUAGAAAAUUUUUGCAUCUUUGGUCCCUUUUAAAUAUGAAAAGCAUUUUUAACCCUUGAAAUGGACUUGGAGCACUAGUAGUCCCCUGUUUUACAGAAAAAUACAGUUUUAGCCCCUCUAAUUUGAAAAUCUCGCAAUUUGGGCUUUAUUGGGCCGAAAAGUUCAUUUUUGGCCCAAUAUGCUUACAAAUUUCACAUUUAAUCCUUCAAAGAGAAUAUUUCUAGAAAAAUACAUUGUUGAAACCGUUUUGACUCAUUUCAUCCAUCAGAAUUUGUAUUUUGUCAUUUUGGGCCCUUUAACCUUAUAUUUUUAACAUUUUGAGUCCAAAAAUGGGAUUUUUAGCCCAAGGAGUUCAUAUUAACCAACUUGGUUAUUUUUCUAGAAAUGAUUUGUGUGUAAUAAUAUGUUUAACACUUGUUUCAUACAUCCUAAUGCAAAUCUCGAUUUUAAGGACUUUUUGACUAGUUUCAACACCAUAAUCACAUAAGAACAUGUAAAUAAACAUAGAAAUCAUACAAAGCAUACAUAUACUCAUAGAUCCACACAUUUGCUUGUAUUCCCCCCCCCCCCCAAAACUUAUAAUAACCGAAAAAUAGGGGGUAUGAAGCUCACCUUUGCUUUGAUGUUUCGGUUUUGAAGAAGAAUAUGAGAAGAUGAUGUUGUUUUCGGCCUAACUUGUUUCUAUGAUAAGAUCUUCGAGUUCUAGGAAUUUUUAGAGUGUGGUUCAUAAAAAAAAGGUGGUAAGAGAAGUGAUUUGAGUUUAGAAAUGAAACAAAUCAACUUAGGUUUGUAAUAUCUUACCAAGGAUAAUGAUCUUGGUGAAAAAUCCUAUUGAAAGCACUCUAAAUCUUCGAAAUUUUUGGAGGAGGAAGGAGGUGUUCUAGAGAGAGUUUCUUAAGUGAUUUUGAAGGAAAUGAGGUGGUGAGAAGAUGUGUUGGCUGAAAAUAAGAAGAGAGGGGGAGAGAGGAUGUGAUGGUUACCUAGAUGUAUGAGGUUUGGAUAUUACUUAAUGGUUAAUUUGCAUUGAAGUCCACCAUGCAAAUGUGAUGUGUCUAUUGCUCAUUAAUUCUCUUCUUUCUUCAUUGGGCCGAAAUGGAGUAAUCAUGAAGGAGUUUUGGCCUUAUCUUGGUCCUUACUCGAAAUUAUGAAGCACAAAAUACAUUUUUCGGCCCAUUGGGGCAAAUGAAAUCUUUUAUGGCCCAACAAGGCUCAUUAGAGUUAAGAUGGAUUAUUUUAGGCCCACAUGGCCCAAAAUGCUAAGGUUUUAUGAAUGUGGUCUAUUUAGAGCCCAAUUAGGGUUUCUAGGCCCAAGAUAGUCAACUUGAAGGUUUAUUGGUCCAUUAGGCCCAAUAAGAGAAUCCUAGGCCAUAGUGAACUUGAAAUGGGAUAUCUAGGGUUUCCAACCCUUAUUUGAGCAUAUGAGAUACAUUUGAAUAGGAAUGGAGCGUGGUAUUCUCUUAGAUUACAAGUUAUCACACUAGGUGAAUGAUUGCACGAGAGUAGAGUUUCCUAGCAAAAAUGCUAGUUGUGACAGACCAAGAGUUUAUCCUUUAAAUAAUAAAAUAUUUAAUUAGUAUACGUGCCUGCAUUCAUACUAAAAUCAGUGUCACUAGGACACUACAAAAGAAUUACGGUUGUUGGGCAAGACGAGUGGGUUUAAAGACAUAUGGUCAAAAUUGGGAAGAUAUAGCCUGAUCACCUAUAUUAUCCGAGGGUUGACUAGCAUGUGCCUAAGUUUAAUUGUGUGGUUGCAACAAAUCUAAAAUCUUACCAACCCUACCACAAUAAGAACAUUAGAACAUAACAUUAAACUUAAAAUACUAUAGGAGUAUUUGGUGUUACUAUAAGUACGUUAUACUUGAGAACUUAAACAGGAUCUUCAUUACUAAGUUGAUAGUUGCUAAGUGGAUACACUAAGGAUAUAUGUAAUUAGGAUGUUAUAGACUUAGAAUUUGUGAAAUUUUACUUUACCCCGAUUCUGUGUGAAUUUGGAGUUAAGGUCACAUAUUCGAAGGCCUAUCUUGUUUCGAUUACCUAUAACUGGUAUGCACUUCACAAAUAACGAUGUAACUAAUGAAGAUUUUCUAAAUAAUUAUCUAGAUAGUUCGUCUACUAGUUAUUUUCUUACCCCAAUUCUCGCAUAGAUAACAUGGCUGGACUCCAUCCCCACGGCAACCAGUACCUCCCGAAUGAGGUCAUUGCUGGAUGGUUUGGAGAAGAACCAGAGAAUGAUUAUCUGAUCCCUUUGAAUGAUCACCAUGAUGAAGACCUUUCGGACGAUGCUAAUUCCGAAACAGAGGUUGAGAAUCUACCCCAAGCAGCUCCCUUUCCAAUUCCUAACCCUCGUCCGACUUUUCAUGGCCCGACCCCUGAGUGAGUGGAAUGCUUGGAAACAUGGAGCCAAGGACAAGAUCAGCCCAUGCCAUUUAAUGGCGACCGAAGCUUUUACGACCUGAGCAAUAGGGGCUCAGCAGAUAGAAUCUUGCCAAUCUUGGUCCACAGAGUGGCCUGAAAUGAGAUUCAAGGCAGGACAGCCCUACAUCAGAUCACCGAAGUUGUCGCCGAUGCGAGAAUGCAUACCCUCCGCACCAUUCGUCUCGAAGAUGCUCGCAAGAAAUCAGAGAGAAACCAUGAAACCCUGCUGCAAGCACUAGCUGAAUCACGAGCCGAAGUCAUAGAGCUCCGAGUACGCCAGAGGGUGUACGAUAGACACCUACUUGAUGUAGAACGUCAACUGGCUUCUGAGAGUUCACCUGAGGGAUGACCAUCGUCAGUAGUAGAUUCUUUACCUUACUUCCCUUGUUAGAAAGUAAUCGUUUUCUGUCUUUGCCCGAUGUGGCAUUUUCUAUGAAAUUACCUUGUACUGUAAGUACUUUAGGUUAGGUCCUUAUGCUGUCAAGAAUUAUCUUCUCUGGAUAUGAUGUAAGACUUUUACAAGGUCAUUUUCUUGAAUCUUUACGUCAUGAAUAUCAAAGAUAUUGACAGCCGGCUAACUUUUGUGUCAUUCUUUAUUCAAGUACUCUUAUCAUACUUUCAUGGGAGUCUAUCUGAAACCUGCUUUAGUCAAGUCAUUGGACUAUAGUAAUUUAACUCGGGAGACAUUUCUAAGUCUCCUUUAGUGGUUGGAUCCUAUUAUUCACCAACCACGAUACCUCGGCUUGAACGACAAACGUCUUGAGACCAUUCUACGAACUUACCUCCAAUCCGUACUAGGACUGCAUCGUAGGGAUGUAGGUCAACCUUUCGAGAUCAUACUCUUACUCUUUGAUUGAGCAAUCAAAGUACAUCUAAGGUCAGCCAAAAUCGCUCAUCAAAACCCUUAUCUUUCGUGUUACAGAAUCAUGUCGUCAUCCGGAAACAAUCAGUCGAACAACGAAACCCCUAUCCUCCAUAUCAACGCCGCUACAUUACAAGCUGCAGUAGCAGCUGCUGUGACAACUUUCCUUACGCACAUCAACUCAAGCAACACAAGCAAGACUGACAAAGGAGUCGAGAGUUCCGAUGGUAGUACGAAACCGAGAAACCAACAAAUGGCAACAAACAUGGACUUGCGAAGCUGUAAAACCGAAAGGAAGAGGCGAUAUCGUAAAGCCCUAAAGGAGUGCAAGAGAGCCCAAGGACUUGCCAUGCCACAGCCAGAAGUGGCAGCUACUACAAAACGCUUUAAGAAGCAAUUUCCUAGGUGGAGUAAUGAGGAAGGCACUCGUGUCCACAUAACACUGGCUAAACACCGCAAUCCCGUCACCAAUGCAAGUACUAGCUAGUCAUGCCACCAAUGCGGUGAGAUAGGGCACUUCAAGAAGGAUUGCCCUAUAGCAAAGAACUCUGGCGCAGAUGGGAGGAUUCUCAGGAUCACAGCUGCAGGAGAGCCUACUCCGGAACCCUCGUUAAUGUAACUUAGGCGUGUUGUUGUAACAGACUUAUAAACUAUCCAGAACUAGUUCAACUAGAGUCUUACCUUUCGCGGGAUCCUAUCGGUAUAGGGAUUCUCGUGCUGCGUAUACUUGUCUUUUGUAGUAUAUCUUAUUCGCAGCAAUAGUCUUGUGGUAAAUCUAAAGUACUGUAACUCUGUUCAUGGUUGCACGGUUCUGUUUUGUCUGUAAACGUCUUAUGUUCAAAUCUAAUGUCUUUAAGUUUUAGUAUGAUUUCGACAUUAUCAUACGACUCGAUUCAAUUUGAUCCUCACAAAAACAACUUCAUACGUACGUCUCCUUAUUAGUAAACAUCUUUUUAGCGAAAUCGUCAUAUCAGAACACCGAAGUACUCGUGCCAGGAGUACCUCUUAGUUAUUUUCUUUCCGAAGAAAUCCCCGAAGUACCACUCGUGCAGUACGUCAAGUUUAAUCCAAGGAUUCAUGCGAUUGAUCUAUCACUGAGGAAUGUAUACAUAAGAGUGAUAUAUAAUCAAGGUUCUACAGGUUUAGAAUUGAUGAUUCCACUUUAACUUCUUUUUCCUCGAAAGGAAGUGAGCUUAAAGAAGAAUCAGUUAUUCGACUACCUUUUCAAUCUUAAUUGUAUACGACUCGUAUACACGAGAUUGUGAUUGUGAAAACAUGUAUGAAUUCUAAUAUGAUCUUCAGGACGGAGAACUGCCUAAGCCUACGAGUAAUCGCAUCGUCAUGUGAACAAACUUAGAACCCAGUACGACUCUUGUAAACAUAUCGCCCUAUAGUCUAGACACCUACGGAGAUACCAGAACAGUACAGACAACUUAACGAACUACGAAGAAAUAGAAUUAGAAGACUAGGAUUCUCACCCUGGAGAACCCCACUCUUAUUCUUCUAAGGAUCGAUGGAUUGCAUCGUAUGUGCCUUGGAUAUCGAGGGCUCCGUCAAGAUUUUUCAUUAGAAAUCGUUUUCUCUGCCUCGCAUAGAUGAAAUGGUUGAGAAAACGCAAAGAAAGAAUUACUUUCAUAAAUGGAUAUGAGAUCCGAAUAUCACCAGUUUGAGUGUUAGGGAAGGAUGUCCGGAAGACUAUCUUCCGAACUCGAUACGGGCACUUUGAGUCCGUAGUGAUACCCUUCCGAUAGGACCAAUAUGCCCAUAGUUUUCAUGAGCUAUAUGAGUAGGGUACGUCUUUCUUACUUGGAUCAGUUCGUCAUUUCUCCAUGUAAUGACUUACUUAUCUGCCCUCGUAGUAAGAAGAAAACCCAUGGUAACAUUUCCUUUAGAGGAACUUUUCGCGAAGUUCUCUAGGCCCGAGUUUUGGAAUUGAAGAGUCAAAAUUUCCUAAGACACACUAUUAGUGAUGUGGGAAAAUUUUGAGUACUCUUUCAAUUUGUCAAAACUGUGGAGAAUUUGUUGACACCAGAGACACCGACAAAAAUUCGCCAAAUUUUAGGUCUUACCGACCUACUGUCAUAGUUCAUUCAGAACCCUUCACAAAUUACAGAAACCUUUACGACUCUGACCCAGCAAAGGGUGGCCCUUGACUGGGAAGUUAAACAAGAAAAAGAAACCUUGGAGAUUCCAAGUGAGUGACCAAGUUCUUUAGGAGAACUCACUCUGGGAACUACUUAAUACGCUUCGUGAAGCGUGGAAAGCUAAAUCCAAGAUAGAUAGGACCUCCGAGAUUCUUACUAGAAUCGGUCCUGUACCUAGCACACACUAGACAUACUCCGCGAACUCAGUAACAUACAUUCUACUCUUCGCGUCUGGAUCGUGAAACCAUACCUUUCCGUUAGGACUCUUGUAAGUCCACUCGUCGAGAUCCUCGCCUUCGUAUUAAAACCGUAGUGACCCUCGACCGAGAGGUCAAGUGGACGAAACAACGCCGUCGCCAGUUAGUGAAGGUUCGUUGGAAUGCCAACCGAGAACCCGAUUUCACUUAGGUGCACUAGAACCAAUCGAUUAGGAAGUUUCCUCCUCACAACUCGAUCAUACUUCCUUGCCUAAAUUCUAAUUUCGGGACGAAAUUCCCUUUGACGGGGGGAUGAUGUGACAACCCGAAAUUUCCGUUCUGAACAAACCAUAUCAAGCCAAUAGAAGUUAGAACAGUUUCAGUGAAAUUCCAGACUUCGGGUAUAAGUUUGGCAGUUUUUCAGGAUUUACACUUAAAGAGAUAUCAGGAGAGUAGAUGCACUAGGGUUUUGUGCAACAUUGUUAUUCCAAUACUCUAGGAUAUUAGAGUUUAUUCCGGGAAUAAAAAUAUUUUCUGCCAAAAAUCCCAGGACUAUAUAUAGAAAAACUGAACCAUAUUCAUUCAUUAGCUACAUUUCCAUUUAGAGAAAAGUCAAAAUUCUCUCUCACGGAUCUUUGGGGUUUUAUCCUAAAUUGUGAGUACUUCGAUCUAGUUAUGUUAUAUAGCUUAGAUUGUGUUUAGAAACAUCAAAAUCGGACCAUAACCCCAAGAUUUGGGAGUUUACCGCCCAAGAACACUUGGGGAGUAAACUCCAUUUUAAGGGCCAAAAGUGUCCCAAUGCCCCUCAAAGCCUUGGAACUCAAACUAGAAGCCUCCAUUACAUGUUUAGGACACCAAAAUCAAUUAGAAACAAGGAUGAAAGUGAGUUCACGGCCAAGGAGGUUCUUGGGUCGUGAACUCCAUGUUUAAGUGCUAAAAUGCCCUAAAUGCCUUCAUUUGGCCAAGAGAAUAGCAUAGCACAUUACCUUGAUGUAUCUAGGAUCCAAAACAAUCUAAAUACCAAAACCUAGGGGUGUUCACGGCCGCAAACACAUGGCCAAAAGGUUCAUGGGCCGAAAACUCUAGUUAGGGGUGUUUUGAUGCCACAAACACUUCCUAAGGCUUAGGCUUGAAUUUAGACAUGUAACCUAGUGUGUUUGGGGCUAGCAAACACCAUUAAAACACCAAGAAAAGGGUGUUCACGGCCCAAGAUGUUCCAGGGCCAUGAACUCCAAUAAAUGGUGCCAAAUGGUGCCAUAAAUCCUCCUAAAGCCUUGGACAAUUGCCUUAAUGCAUUCCUUGAUAAUUUAGGGACUUGAAAGCACCAUAAGCCUUCCCCCAAGGGAUAUUACGGCCGUAAUCUCAAUGGGAUAUGGUCCCAAGGCCGUGAACUCCUCAAUGGAGUCAACAGGAAGCCCAAACAAGUGUUUAAGCCUUGGAACAAUUCACCACUAGAGUUGUAUUAAUUCUAAGCUUCAUUUAGAGACCUUAUUGAGAGUUUACGGCCAGGAGUUUACUCCACUGGGCCGUAAACUCCAAAUCAUAUGGUCAUUUGACCAUAAACCCCCAUUAGACGUCUUGCACUCCUUUGUUGCAACCCAUUUGCCUCCUAGCACUUGACCAAAAGUGUUUUCCUCACAUUAAAAUGCUUAUACUUGUAUAAUUAGUGUUUUAAUCACUAAUUAUUUAUAUACAUAUGUCUUCAUAUGAAAUUAGGAUCAUUGUGUGUGUCUAAAGUCUUCACUUGACACCAAGCACUUGUCCGAUCAUUCCUUACGAUAACAGUCCGUUCAAUUCCAGUCACUUACUGCAGGUGAGUUCAUACCCCUUAAUUAAUGUUUUAAACUAUUUUUAAAUGUUUUAUGGGGGGGGGAUACAAGUAGAAUCAUGCUACUUAUUAUAUCAAUCACAUGUGAUUAAUAAGUAGAAUUAUGCUAGUUAUUAUAUCAAUCACAUGUGAUUAAUAUGCAACAUUCAAAUGAUUUACUACACAUUAACCGUUUUACCAAACAGGUUCUUCAAAUGAUUUUCUUAAAUGUUUUAUAUGUUUAAAAAUCCUUAUUAAACUGUUCAUUACACACUGUAUGAUCCUUUUCAAACCAUUUUACUCCGAUCCGUUUUACUCCAAGCUAUUACCAAAUCGUUUUACUUCAAACUGUUUUCACUUCAAACUGUUUUAUCGAUUGACAUCAAGUCGAUCUUUUCUUAAGAUAAUAAUUAUGUUCAAAGGUUUUACAAAACUUAUUUAUGCUUUUAUAUUAUAAAUUGCAUGCCUCUAUAUGUAUAGUUAUAUAAGAAAUGUUUAAAAGACUUAGGAAGGCUAUCCACCCUAUUUCCUUUUCGCGCUUGAGAUGUGGUCUGGUGGGAUAUCGGGUACUCGUCCGAAGGUCGUUUAAAUAUUAGUUAUAUAUCAUGUGUACAUAUAUAGUCAUAAAGGCCCUUCCAGUUCAUCCCAUGCCCUUGGGUAGCAAGGGUAUACAUCCAUGUCCAUACGUACCAGUUAGAUUACUAGUAAACUACCAUAUGGGUAGUUUAGGAAGAUACUAGAACUAUUACUAGAACGCGAUAUCAUACAAUGAGUCAGUUCAUUCAUGAGUCAAUACUUACUACUAGAAGAACAUAUACAACUAUACUAGAGAAGAACAUAUACAACUAUACUAGAGAAGAACAUAUACAACUAUACUAGAAAGAGAACAUAUACAACGAUACUAGAACGAUUACAUUACUAUACUUGCUAGGUAGAGAGCACGUACAUUACAGCUAGAACAGUUCAUUACAUUACAUAUACAUGAAUACGUUAAUAAUUGUGAUCCACUGUAUCGGAGCAUGCCUUAAAUGUCAUGGCCCGAGUUGUAGCCAGAAUUCUCUUGGAGGGAGAGCGUGAGUUUGCGUAUAGAUCUAUACUGGAUUGACUAUCCUACACCUUGCUGCUAGCUACAGCCGGACCUGCAGGUCUGCGGGUGCCAAACGUCAUUCCGUUUUACAACCAUUUGUAUGUCGUUGUUACCAGUCAAUAGUAUGCUGCAAUUAAUCACAUGAUGCCUUAAUAUAAAUCCAGUUUAAGGUAGUUAGUACGACAGUAGUUCCUAUAAUACAACACUACAGUACUACAUUAAUUUCCCCUUUUCAUAUAUUUAGUGAUCAUUUCAAUUAAACAUUUAAUGUAAAAAGUAUAUUUUGAUAAUGAUAGUUACACUUGGGAAAAAUACACACUUUUACAAGAAACGAACAUUUAGAACAGUUAAGUCUUGGUAGAAGACUACAUUGAGAACAAUUAAGUCUUGGUAGAAGACACCUUUAUAUAAAAGUAGGAAUCAUAGGGAUUUCUAGGGUUUUUCAAACGUUUACAGUUGUUUUACAAACAUUUUUAUACUUACAGUUCAUCUACAUUUUUCCAUACUUACAGUUCAUUUACAAACAAUUUCUUACAUACAAAUUAAGACACUAAAAUACUUAUGAUCUCACCAGCUUCAAAGCUGAUACUCGCUUUCAAAAUUACUUGUAUCCUCAGGUCAUCAUAGACAGGUACCGAUGCAAGGAUUAGGGAAGAUGGAGCUCGUUGAAGACUCAUCUUUCAUUUUGAUUUAUGCUUUAGUGUUUAUCAAAAUUUGACAGAACACACUUGUAUAAUAAUUAUAUUAUUAAUGCAAUGGAUGAUGUUGUUGCUUGUUUACUACUUUUCAUUGUUGUGAUACUGUACAUGACGUCCUCCGCCCCAGAACAUUUCCGCCGUUCUUGGUUUUGGGUUGUGAUAGCUAUUUUAUGUUCUCACAAUGGGUAACAUUUCCUAUUUUUAUAUAAUUUGAUAUUUAAAAUCUUUAUAUAAAAAUGCAUUUUGAUACAAGUCUAAAUUACUUAUUUGUAUUUUCCAACUUUUGUACAUUUGGAUUUGAACAAAUGGUAUUUAUGAAAGAGUCAUAACACAUUAUUAUAACUCAAUUAUUUUAUACUUUUAAUAGAAAAGUACACAUUUAUAAAAGCUGGUCAUCCAGCUAAAUUUUAUUACACAAUGUUGGGUAUAAAAAUACUCUGUGUCAAAACCUAUAGAACUCACCAACAAUUUUGUUGAUGUAUUUUAAUGCAUGUAUUCUCAGGUUAUUUAGCAGGUCGGAAGUGUUCGCUCAGAAGACUCUCCGUUAGUUAUAUUAUAUCUUUGUAAACGCCGGAUUGUCAGGCAUGUGUAACGAUUUUGUAACGACCCGUCUCUAGUAUGUUGUUUCCAUGUUAUUUAUUUAGAAGUUUUCAAGAGGGACUCAACGAGUCUAUAGCCCGACUCGUCGAGUAGAGACGAGAUUUCGAGCACGUGUAAGUCGGCGACUCGACGAGUUCAUAUUCGGGACUCGGCGAGUCCGCCUGCCAGGAAGAAACCCCAAAUCCCUGGGUUUGCUCACUAUUUAAGCAAUGUUAUGUGCCCCAAACUCGCCUCCUUCACCCUCAGAGAGCUUGUGAGAAACCCUAAACCAUUCCUUGUAUGAUUAAAGUGUUUUUGUGUGGAUUCUUAAAGGAUUGAAGAAGAAAAAGAAGAAAGGACCAAAAAGAGGAAGUGUAGAGCAAAGAUCCAAGGCCAUAGUCAGAGUUCAUUGAGGUAUGUCUCGGAAUUAUUCUGUUUUGUGCUUAAAACCUCCAUUAAAACACCUAUAAGGCUAGUUUAAUGUAUUUUCCAAGCUUUAUAGUUGUACGGAUGCCUUGUUGGGUCGAGAUAUCCCUAGAUCUGUUCAAUUAGGAGUUUUAGAGCCCUGAUCUAUUGCCUUUUUCGAAGUUGCCUUGCAUGAGAACCCUAGAUCUAGCCUUUAUUAUGCUUUUUGAGCCUUUUUAAUCUUCAUGUAUGCUUAUGGGCACGUAAAGAUAGAAUCAUUACGUGUUAAUCGAGCAUAAGAAGCCUAGAUCUACAAGUUAUAUGCGCUGGAUUCAAGCGGAAUCAAGUUUUUAGUAACUGCAUGUAUGCGACUCGGCGAGUCGAGCCGCGAGUCCCCGAUUUUUCCCCUUUUGAGUGAUUCUGAGUGGGGACCAGUGAGUAGUAGAAUGGACUCAAUGAGCCGGAGGUCAGACUUGGUAAUGGAGGGACUCGACGAGUUGUUCAUACAACUCGGCGAGUCCAAGGCAAUCUUCGUAGAUUCAAGAACAACUCGUCGAUUUGUUCAUACAACUCGGCGAGUUGUUCAUACAACUCGGCGAGUCGGAUGCAGAUAGCCUAAGUUCUAGAAUCGAAAGGAAACUCGUUGUGUUGAUGCCAUACUCGACGAGUAGCAGCGAACAGGGUUGAGAAAUGAGAGUAGGGACUCGGCGAGUUGACGGCUCAACUCGGCGAGUCGGGUCAACUGUAAGUUGACUUUGACCGGGAGAGUUGAUUUUGGCCAGGGGUAAAAGAGUCAUUUUACCCCAACAUAGUUAUUAGNUGUGUUUAUGGAAUUGUAGCCGGGGAGAUACCGGAGCAGCAACAGAUAGCUUCCAGAGCCAUACACUCAGCAGCCAGUUCAUGAGGUGAGUUUCCUACCAGUAGGAACGGGUCUACGGCCACAAUGCCGGCCCGUUUAGCUAGCAGUUAGUUCCGGACUUCGGUCCGAAGCAGUAGUUCAGGGUGCUUGAUCUCUUUGUGAUUCAGGCAUGUCUAUGUGUUAUGUGUUCCGGACUUCAGUCCGAUGCAGUAUAUGUGUUAUGUUAGCAGAUACGUGUUUAUGUUAUGCUAUGUUCAGAUAGUUCCGGAUUUCGGUCCGAUGCAGCUAGUUCUGGACUCCGGUCCGAUGCAGGGGACAAGGUCCCUGUCAGUUCCGGACUUCGGUCCGAUGCAGUUAGUUCCGGACUUCGAUCUGAUGCAGUCAGUUCCGGACUUCGGUCCGAUGCAGUUAGUUCCGGACUUCGGUCCGAUGCAGUGGGCAAGGCCCAGUAUGUGCUUUAUUUGUUAUUGUGUGGUAUGUGGUAGUUCGGGGGAGCUCACUAAGCUUCGUGCUUACAGUUUCAGUUUUGGUUUCUGGUACUUCCGCAAGUAAAGGGAAGAGCUCGGGAUGAUGGCAUCGCACACACCACAGCUUCAGUUUUUGUCCUGGGAGUUGAUUCAGUUUCUUAGAUAUGUUUUGAUACAGUUGUGACACAGUUUUUCUCACAGUAUUUUAUUAUGGUUUUGAGAUACGCAACGUAUGGUUUUAUUAUGUGAUACUCAGUUUUAUGAUCUUUGUUAUAUUAAAAAUGAAAUUUUCGGGUCGUAUUUUUGGGAUGUUUCAGAUUUAGCAAUUAGUCAUUGUCAAUGUAAUUUCUAUUUCGGUAAUAAUAGAAGAUUAUAUUUGUACUGUUCAAUGUAUGUUUAAUAACUGUGAUUAGGGGUGUGCAUGGGUCGGUUUGGGUCGGUUUUGGACUCAAACCCAACCCAACCCAUAAAUGGUCGGUUUCUGGUUUUUAGAACCCAAUAGGAUCGGUUUCUGGUCGGUUCGGUUUCUUGGGUUCUAAGGUCGGUUUGGGCGGUUUUUCGGUUUCUUGGGUUCAACCCAUACACUCACGGGUUCUGGGUUUAAACCCAUGGGUUUAAGGUUUUAACCCAUUUUCCAUAAAUGAAGCAACAAGUUAGAUACUUCAAAAAAUAACAAAUUGAAGUUAAGUACUUCAAAAAAUAUGAGUCUUACAACAAAUAGUCAAUUACAACUUACAACUAAAGCCCGAAAUAGUCUAUUACAACUAAAACACAAUCAAGUAU
This 29710-nucleotide long non-coding RNA is filed under the name Lactuca sativa (garden lettuce). Its description in RNAcentral is "long non-coding RNA (LSAT_LNC005213)". The record is from RNAcentral. Lineage: Eukaryota; Viridiplantae; Streptophyta; Magnoliopsida; Asterales; Asteraceae.